UUGGACAAUGGGUGAAAGCCUGAUCCAGCCAUCCCGCGUGAAGGACGACGGCCCUAUGGGUUGUAAACUUCUUUUGUACAGGAAUAAACCAUUCUACGUGUAGGAUGCUGAAGGUACUGUACGAAUAAGCACCGGCUAACUCCGUGCNCAGCAGC
This 155-nucleotide ribosomal RNA is filed under the name Bacteroidetes bacterium H30. Its description in RNAcentral is "partial 16S ribosomal RNA". It matches the Rfam family "Bacterial small subunit ribosomal RNA", at positions 364 to 515 of the family's 1533-position model. Lineage: Bacteria; Pseudomonadati; Bacteroidota. The record is from RNAcentral.